UGGGGAAUUUUGGACAAUGGGCGAAAGCCUGAUCCAGCAAUGCCGCGUGUGUGAAGAAGGCCUUCGGGUUGUAAAGCACUUUUGUCCGGAAAGAAAUCCUUGGCUCUAAUACAGUCGGGGGAUGACGGUACCGGAAGAAUAAGCACCGGCUAACUACGUGCCAGCAGCCGCGGUAAUACGUAGGGUGCAAGCGUUAAUCGGAAUUACUGGGCGUAAAGCGUGCGCAGGCGGUUUGCUAAGACCGAUGUGAAAUCCCCGGGCUCAACCUGGGAACUGCAUUGGUGACUGGCAGGCUAGAGUAUGGCAGAGGGGGGUAGAAUUCCACGUGUAGCAGUGAAAUGCGUAGAGAUGUGGAGGAAUACCGAUGGCGAAGGCAGCCCCCUGGGCCAAUACUGACGCUCAUGCACGAAAGCGUGGGGAGCAAACAGGAUUAGAUACCCUGGUAGUCCACGCCCUAAAACGAUGUCAACUAGUUGUUGGGGAUUCAUUUCCUUAGUAACGUAGCUAACGCGUGAAGUUGACCGCCUGGGGGAGUACGGUCGCAAGAUUAAAACUCAAAUGAAUUGACGGGGUCAUAGCUGUUUCCU
RNAcentral lists this ribosomal RNA (587 nucleotides) under uncultured bacterium. RNAcentral describes it as "partial 16S ribosomal RNA". It matches the Rfam family "Bacterial small subunit ribosomal RNA", at positions 355 to 1375 of the family's 1533-position model. The record is from RNAcentral.